Molecule: ribosomal RNA, 3202 nt
Filed under: soil metagenome
Description: bacterial LSU rRNA
Rfam family: Bacterial large subunit ribosomal RNA
Source: RNAcentral
CCAAGUUAGUAAGGGCGCACGGUGGAUGCCUUGGCACCAGGAGCCGAAGAAGGACGUAGGAGCCUGCGAUAAGCCCCGGGGAGUCGGCAACCAGACUUCGAUCCGGGGAUUUCCGAAUGGGGAAACCUGAUUGGGCGUAAUGGCCCAUCGCCCCUGCCUGAACACAUAGGGCAGGUGGAGGUAACGUGGGGAAGUGAAACAUCUCAGUACCCACAGGAAGAGAAAGCAAAAGCGAUUCCCUGAGUAGUGGUGAGCGAAAGGGGAACAGGCCAAACCGAUCACGUGUCAUAGCCAGCAGGCGUUGCGUGACCGGGGUUGCGGGACCGACCAGCCAGAACUGCUGAUCUGGCAGGAAGUUAGAAAUCGUUUGGGUAGUCGAAGACGCCUGGAAAGCGUCGGCACAGAGGGUGACACCCCCGUAGACGAAACUCAAGCGACUUCCGGACGGUAUCCCAAGUAGCACGGGGCCCGAGAAAUCCCGUGUGAAUCCGGGAGGACCACCUCCUAAGCCUAAAUACUCCCUGGUGACCGAUAGUGCACAAGUACCGUGAGGGAAAGGUGAAAAGUGCCCCGGUGAGGGGUCGUGAAAUAGUACCUGAAACCGUGUGCCUACAAGCCGUGGGAGCGUAAUCAGUCUUCGGACUGAUGUGAAGUGACCACGUGCCUUUUGAAGAAUGAGCCUGCGAGUUAUGGUAUGUGGCAAGGUUAACCCGUGUGGGGGAGCCGUAGCGAAAGCGAGUCUGAAUAGGGCGCCUAAGUCGCAUGCUAUAGACCCGAAGCGGAGUGAUCUACCCAUGGGCAGGUUGAAGCGCGGGUAAGACCGCGUGGAGGACCGAACCCACCAGGGUUGAAAACCUGGGGGAUGACCUGUGGGUAGGGGUGAAAGGCCAAUCAAACUCCGUGAUAGCUGGUUCUCCCCGAAAUGCAUUUAGGUGCAGCGUUGCGUGUUUCUUGCCGGAGGUAGAGCUACUGGAUGGCCUAGGGGGCCCACAAGCUUACUGAAGUCAGCCAAACUCCGAAUGCCGGUAAGUGAGAGCGCGGCAGUGAGACUGCGGGGGAUAAGCUUCGUAGUCGAGAGGGAAACAGCCCAGAUCACCAGCUAAGGCCCCUAAGCGUGUGCUAAGUGGGAAAGGAUGUAGAGUUGCACAGACAACCAGGAGGUUGGCUUAGAAGCAGCCACCCUUGAAAGAGUGCGUAAUAGCUCACUGGUCAAGUGAUUCUGCGCCGACAAUUUAGCGGGGCUCAAGCACACCGCCGAAGCUGUGGCACUCGCGCAAUAACCAGGCCCUUUGUGGUUAAGGUGGAUGGCGGUCUUGUCCGCUGCGGUUUCGGCCGCGGCCGGCUUGACCGUGGCCACUGGCGCCUUGAGGGUCCAGGUGCGCGGGUGGGUAGGGGAGCGUCGGGUGGCGAGUGAAGCGGCGGAGUGAUCCAGCCGUGGACGCCACUCGAGUGAGAAUGCAGGCAUGAGUAGCGAAAGAGGGGUGAGAAACCCCUCCGCCGAAUGACCAAGGGUUCCUGGGGCAGGCUAAUCCGCCCAGGGUGAGUCGGGACCUAAGGCGAGGCCGACAGGCGUAGUCGAUGGACAACGGGUUGAUAUUCCCGUACCCGCUUAGAUGCGCCCAUGCCGACCCCGGCGAUGCUAAGUGCGCGGAUCCGGCGAGUCCUUCGGGGCAAACUGGCCGAGCGCACGACCCAGACCGGCAGUAGGCAAGCCGAAGGGGUGACGCAGGAGGGUAGCUCUACCGGGCGAUGGUAGUCCCGGAGUAAGGGUGUAGGGCGGUGCGCAGGCAAAUCCGCGCACCAUUAAGCCUGAGACCUGAUGCCGAGCCGAUUUAGGCGAAGUGAGUAAUCCCAUGCUGCCAAGAAAAACCUCGCGGCGAGCAUCUCGGCGGCCCGUACCCUAAACCGACGCAGGUGGUCAGGUAGAGAAUACCGAGGCGAUCGGGUGAACCGUGGUUAAGGAACUAGGCAAAUUGUCCCCGUAACUUUGGGAGAAGGGGAACCGCGCCCGGUGACGAGGCAUGCCCUCGGAGCUGGGUACGGUCGCAGAUACCAGGGGAAAGCGACUGUUUACUAAAAACACAGGUCCGUGCUAAGUCGCAAGACGACGUAUACGGACUGACGCCUGCCCGGUGCCGGAACGUUAAGGGGAGGGGUUAGCGGCCUUCGGGCCGCGAAGCUCAGAACUUAAGCGCCGGUAAACGGCGGUGGUAACUAUAACCAUCCUAAGGUAGCGAAAUUCCUUGUCGGGUAAGUUCCGACCUGCACGAAUGGCGUAACGACUUUCCCACUGUCUCAACCACGGACCCGGCGAAAUUGCACUACGAGUAAAGAUGCUCGUUACGCGCAGCAGGACGGAAAGACCCCGGGACCUUCACUGCAGCUUGACAUUGGUGUUUGGGACGUCUUGUGUAGGAUAGGUGGGAGACUGUGAAGCAGGGACGCUAGUCCCUGUGGAGUCACUGGUGAAAUACCACUCUGGUCGUUCUGGAUGUCUAACCUGGGUCCGUGAUCCGGAUCAGGGACAGUGUCUGGUGGGUAGUUUAACUGGGGCGGUUGCCUCCUAAAAGGUAACGGAGGCGCCCAAAGGUACCCUCAGCCUGGUUGGCAAUCAGGUGUCGAGUGUAAGUGCACAAGGGUGCUUGACUGUGAGACAGACAUGUCGAGCAGGAGCGAAAGCUGGGACUAGUGAUCCGGCGGUGGCAUGUGGAAGCGCCGUCGCUUAACGGCUAAAAGGUACCCCGGGGAUAACAGGCUGAUCUUCCCCAAGAGUCCAUAUCGACGGGAUGGUUUGGCACCUCGAUGUCGGCUCGUCGCAUCCUGGGGCCGGAGCAGGUCCCAAGGGUUGGGCUGUUCGCCCAUUAAAGCGGCACGCGAGCUGGGUUUAGAACGUCGUGAGACAGUUCGGUCCCUAUCCGCUGCGCGCGCAGGAGACUUGAGAGGGGCUGUCCCUAGUACGAGAGGACCGGGACGGACGAACCUCUGGUGUGCCAGUUGUUCCGCCAGGAGCACGGCUGGUUGGCUACGUUCGGAAGGGAUAACCGCUGAAAGCAUCUAAGCGGGAAGCUCGCCUCAAGAUGAGGUCUCCCUCGGGGUUAACCCGGUAAGGCCCCCAGCUAGACGACUGGGUUGAUAGGCCGGAGGUGGAAGCGUGGCAACACGUGUAGCUGACCGGUACUAAUAGGCCGAGUGGCUUGGCUUC